UACGGAGGGUGCGAGCGUUGUCCGGAAUCAUUGGGCGUAAAGGGCGCGUAGGUGGCCUGGUCAGUCCGUGGUGAAAGCGCGGGGCUCAACCCCGCGUCGGCCAUGGAUACUGCGAGGCUGGAGCACUGUAGAGGCAGGCGGAAUUCCGGGUGUAGCGGUGGAAUGCGUAGAGAUCCGGAAGAACACCGGUGGCGAAGGCGGCCUGCUGGGCAGUUGCUGACACUGAGGCGCGACAGCGUGGGGAGCAAACAGG
This 253-nucleotide ribosomal RNA is filed under the name uncultured bacterium. RNAcentral's name for it is "partial 16S ribosomal RNA". It matches the Rfam family "Bacterial small subunit ribosomal RNA", at positions 524 to 776 of the family's 1533-position model. The record is from RNAcentral.